RNAcentral lists this ribosomal RNA (509 nucleotides) under uncultured bacterium. RNAcentral's name for it is "bacterial SSU rRNA". It matches the Rfam family "Bacterial small subunit ribosomal RNA", at positions 354 to 877 of the family's 1533-position model. The record is from RNAcentral.
GUGAGGAAUAUUGCGCAAUGGGGGAAACCCUGACGCAGCAACGCCGCGUGGGUGACGAAGGCCUUCGGGUUGUAAAGCCCUUUUCUGGGGGACGAGAGAGGACGGUACCUCAAGAAUAAGUCCCGGCUAACUACGGUGCCAGCAGCCGCGGUAAAACGUAGGGGGCGAGCGUUAUCCGGAUUUACUGGGCGUAAAGCGCACGUAGGCGGCAUUGUAAGUUGGAUGUGAAAGCUCUCGGCUUAACCGGGAGAGGUCGUUCAAUACUGCAAUGCUUKAGGUUGGAARAGGAGAGCGGAAUUCCCGGUGUAGUGGUGGAAUGCGUAGAUAUCGGGAGGAACACCAGUGGCGAAAGCGGCUCUCUGGUCCAUACCUGACGUUKAGGUGCKAAAGCGUGGGGAGCGAACGGGAUUAAAUACCCCGGUAGUCCACGCUGUWAACNAUGGAUACUAGGUGUGGGAGUCUUUUAAACCCUUCCGUGCCGAAGCAAACGCCUUAAGUAUCCCCCUGGG